This 867-nucleotide ribosomal RNA is filed under the name Pseudomonas sp. L-09. RNAcentral's name for it is "bacterial SSU rRNA". It matches the Rfam family "Bacterial small subunit ribosomal RNA", at positions 20 to 881 of the family's 1533-position model. Lineage: Bacteria; Pseudomonadati; Pseudomonadota; Gammaproteobacteria; Pseudomonadales; Pseudomonadaceae. The record is from RNAcentral.
CUGCUCAGAUUGAACGCUGGCGGCAGGCCUAACACAUGCAAGUCGAGCGGAUGAAGUGGAGCUUGCUCCAUGAUUCAGCGGCGGACGGGUGAGUAAUGCCUAGGAAUCUGCCUAUUAGUGGGGGACAACGUUUCGAAAGGAACGCUAAUACCGCAUACGUCCUACGGGAGAAAGCAGGGGACCUUCGGGCCUUGCGCUAAUAGAUGAGCCUAGGUCGGAUUAGCUAGUUGGUGAGGUAAUGGCUCACCAAGGCGACGAUCCGUAACUGGUCUGAGAGGAUGAUCAGUCACACUGGAACUGAGACACGGUCCAGACUCCUACGGGAGGCAGCAGUGGGGAAUAUUGGACAAUGGGCGAAAGCCUGAUCCAGCCAUGCCGCGUGUGUGAAGAAGGUCUUCGGAUUGUAAAGCACUUUAAGUUGGGAGGAAGGGCAUUAACCUAAUACGUUAGUGUUUUGACGUUACCGACAGAAUAAGCACCGGCUAACUUCGUGCCAGCAGCCGCGGUAAUACGAAGGGUGCAAGCGUUAAUCGGAAUUACUGGGCGUAAAGCGCGCGUAGGUGGUUUGUUAAGUUGGAUGUGAAAGCCCCGGGCUCAACCUGGGAACUGCAUCCAAAACUGGCAAGCUAGAGUAUGGCAGAGGGUGGUGGAAUUUCCUGUGUAGCGGUGAAAUGCGUAGAUAUAGGAAGGAACACCAGUGGCGAAGGCGACCACCUGGGCUAAUACUGACACUGAGGUGCGAAAGCGUGGGGAGCAAACAGGAUUAGAUACCCUGGUAGUCCACGCCGUAAACGAUGUCGACUAGCCGUUGGGAUCCUUGAGAUCUUAGUGGCGCAGCUAACGCAUUAAGUCGACCGCCUGGGGAGU